This 543-nucleotide ribosomal RNA is filed under the name uncultured archaeon. Its description in RNAcentral is "bacterial SSU rRNA". It matches the Rfam family "Archaeal small subunit ribosomal RNA", at positions 332 to 879 of the family's 1478-position model. The record is from RNAcentral.
CCCGCCGCGUCGAUUACUUUGCAAUGCGGGAAACCGUGACAAGGGAACUCUGAGUGCCCGUUAAAUCGGGCUGUCCAUCGGUUUAAAUAACCGGUGAAGAAAGGGCCGGGCAAGACCGGUGCCAGCCGCCGCGGUAAUACCGGCGGCUCGAGUGGUGGCCACUAUUACUGGGCUUAAAGCGUUCGUAGCUGGUUUGUUAAGUCUCUGGGGAAAUCUUCCGGCUCAACCGGAAGGCGUCUCAGGGAUACUGGCAAACUAGGGACCGGGAGAGGUGAGAGGUACUCCAGGGGUAGGAGUGAAAUCCUGUAAUCCUUGGGGGACCACCUGUGGCGAAGGCGUCUCACCAGAACGGCUCCGACAGUGAGGGACGAAAGCUGGGGGAGCAAACCGGAUUAGAUACCCGGGUAGUCCCAGCUGUAAACGAUGCGCGUUAGGUGUAUCGGUGACCACGAGUCACCGAGGUGCCGAAGAGAAAUCGUGAAACGUGCCGCCUGGGAAGUACGGUCGCAAGGCUGAAACUUAAAGGAAUUGGCGGGGGAGCAC